Molecule: ribosomal RNA, 495 nt
Filed under: uncultured eukaryote
Lineage: Eukaryota
Description: bacterial SSU rRNA
Rfam family: Eukaryotic small subunit ribosomal RNA
Source: RNAcentral
CGGUAAUUCCAGCUCCAAUAGCGUAUAUUAAAGUUGUUGCUGUUAAAAAGCUCGUAGUUGAACUUCUGACAGCGAGCAGGUUUGGCUUUGGCCAGCCUGUUCGUUGUCAUCCGUCUGCAAACCUUGUACGUCCUUCAGUGGUUCGGCAAGGGGAGUAGACAAUUUACUUUGAAAAAAUUAGAGUGUUCAAAGCAGGUAUUAGCCUGAAUACUUUAGCAUGGAAUAAUGGAAUACGACUCUUGUCUAUUUAUGUUGGUUAUUAGACUUGAGUAAUGAUUAAUAGGGACAGUUGAAGGCAUUAGUACUUAAUUGUCAGAGGUGAAAUUCAUGGAUUUAUUAAAGACUAACUAAUGCGAAAGCAUUUGCCAAGGAUGUUUUCAUUAAUCAAGAACGAAAGUUCGAGGAUAGACAGCGAUCAGACACCACUUUAUUUCGAACUAUAAACUAUACCGAUUUGAGAUAGCCAAUUUUAAUCGAAUAAUUGGCUGCAUCACA